This 2522-nucleotide long non-coding RNA is filed under the name Homo sapiens (human). RNAcentral describes it as "HSALNT0272631". The record is from RNAcentral. Lineage: Eukaryota; Metazoa; Chordata; Mammalia; Primates; Hominidae.
AGUCAGCAAGAAGAUGGAAGAUGUAUCACCCAAGCACAUGGGAAGUGAAGAAGAUCUCCUUCCACACUGCCUGUCUUCUGCACUGGAACUCCCUGAAGGUUUGAAUCCAACCAACUACUCAACAACAACAACAAAAUGUAUUCCUUGUCUGCACCUGAUAUCCUAUGGUUGGCAGACUCAAAGGCAACCCCCACGAUCCCUGCAACAUAGUGUCCACACCCUUGAGAAAUGCCCUCUUGUGAACAUGUGUGGAGCCAGUGACUUGCUUCUAAUGAACAGAAUAUGGUGAAGGUGGCAAGAUGUCACCUCUGUGAUGACAUUAUGUAGACUGUAGUGUCUGUCUUGACAAAAGACUCUCUCUCUUGCUCAUUUGGUAAAGUAGCCAUGCUGCCAAGAUCCCAAGACCAGGAACUGGAGGAAGCAGCCAGCCAACAGCCAAUUAAAAAACAAAACAAAACAAAAAGCAAAAAACCUGAGGUUCUCAGUCCAACAGGCUAUUCCACCAACAAUAUAAAUAUGGAAGUGAAUCUUUCCCCACUCAAGCCUUGAAGUGAGACUGCAAGCCCAAUAGACACUCUGUUUGCAGCCUUCAAAGAAAACUAUGCAGCAGAGAACCCAGAGAAGCUGUGCCCAGAAUCUUGACUCCUAAAAAUCCUGAAAUAAUCAGUGGAUGCUGUUUUAAACUACUAAGUUUGCGGUAAUAUUGUUACACAAUAGAAAAGUAACACAACAUGCACGUGUGCAUACAGUGCAGACCCAACCUGUCACUGAUACAAUUGGCUCCAAACUUUAUCGCAAAUCCAUUCACAUUUCUUUAUCUCCAUGGUCACCAGCCACCAAAGGAAGUAGCUCUUGGCUCCCUACACUUUCUGCUUCAACCUUGAGGUGAAUUUCUCAUCUGCACACUGCCAGGCACAAGAAAGAAGGAGCACAAGCCAGCUCACCCAGCCCCUCCUGAGGAGCUGUCCUCACCACUGCACCAGGCUAUCAAAGUCUCCCGCACCUGCCCCAGCAGAUCUGCGCAUGCCCAAUCCUGUGUGCUUUCUGUCCUUACGGAAUUUCAUAUUUCUGCUGCCUUCUGACGGCAAUCUUUUGUUCCAGGAUUGUUACAAUUUAUUCCUUUUAAAGAAAUUAUCUUUUCUAUCAUUUCUAGGUCUGUGGCGAGAGAGUAGAAGGCAGACUCCUGUGUUCGGUCUGUCAUUUUGAUACAAUAGUCUUUCCAGGGUAAUUGUCAUGAUGUCAUGCUGUCUCAAAAAAAAAUCCAUUUACAGACAUUUUUUACUGUAACUAAAGUCUAACAGGGAUUUUUUACAAUGGUUCUUGUAAGUACUAUGCAGCCACUACAAAUUAUAUGUAUAAGGAAUGUUUAAUGGUGUUGCCAAAUGCUCAUACUGUAAUGACGUUAUAAGACAGUAUAGAAAGUAUAUUGAAGUUUCAUCCUCCUUGAGGUGAAAUGUUAAGCCAUGUGAAUGAAUGAUGUACACAAGAAAACAGAAGAGGGCUGAGAACAGACCUCAGGAAAUCUCCAGGAGACUGAGACAGACAAAGAAUUAGAGAGAGAGAAAGCUGUAGACAGAGAGAGACAGGCACUAAACAAGACUGCGGAAGUCCUGGAAGGCUUCCUAGAGUCGGACCCAGGUGAGCUGAUUCUGAAAGGUAAGUAGGAAGGAUCCAAUAGAAGUGAUCAGAGAAAUAAUGGACCAAGGAAUGAAGGGAGUAAAAGGAAGAAAAUGAGAAAAGCAUUUAGACUUGGAGACACUGAUGUCACAGAGCCCGGCACACAGCAGAACUCAAUAAGCAUUUUUAAUACAUUAAUAAACUGGUGCUAAUUGACUAAUUAACAAAAUCAAAAAAGUGGCUCAAAUAAAAUCAACAUUGUAGCAUUUUUAUAGCAGCCAAACCUGCAAUGCGAACCCUGAACUCUUUGAGGAGGCUGGUCCUGCAGCCUAAGCUGGACUCUCUGCUGCCCUCUUGUAGACAGACACCAUCACCGCAGCGCUCGCAGCAGUCAAUGAGUCACUUGUAUGAGUCUUCUAACUUUGAAGCUACCCGUGCUCUCCAUCUCAAUAUCUUCACAGGGUGAAUACAGACUGAGGCCAACAGAAAGAUACCAGGAAAUGGUAGCUCUCAAAAAGCAUUAUUAAAUACAUUUAACUCAGCUAUGUUUCUGAGGCCCUAUCCACCUGUCAGAGUAAAGGUUGUCCAGAAUAAUUAUCCUGAUGAUGCUUUUUGCUACACCUUCUCUCUAAAUUGCUCCAUUCCUUGGUUUUAUCACUGAGAAACAUGGCAUGAGCUUUAGGCAGGAACUGAGAGAUGUCUCUUGGUUCAGUCUAGUCCAAGAAUAUGUUUUCCCAAUUUUCCAAAAAUUGGGGGAAAAAACUGAUUUUUUUUAAUUCUUAAAAAAAAACAAAGAACAUCUUUAUUUCUGCCUUCAUUUCGUUAUGUACCCAGUAGUCAUUCAGGAGCAGGUUGUUCAGUUUCCAGGUAGUUGAGCGGCUUUGAGUGAGAUUCUUAAUCCUGAG